Molecule: long non-coding RNA, 1227 nt
Filed under: Homo sapiens (human)
Lineage: Eukaryota; Metazoa; Chordata; Mammalia; Primates; Hominidae
Description: non-protein coding lnc-VOPP1-5:3
Source: RNAcentral
AGUGCUACGUGUCCCUGGCAUUUUAGGUGUCGGUUGGGCAGUCAUGGAUCAGGUAAUGCAGUUUGUUGAGCCAAGUCGGCAGUUUGUAAAGGACUCCAUUCGGCUGGUUAAAAGAUGCACUAAACCUGAUAGAAAAGAAUUCCAGAAGAUUGCCAUGGCAACAGCAAUAGGAUUUGCUAUAAUGGGAUUCAUUGGCUUCUUUGUGAAAUUGAUCCAUAUUCCUAUUAAUAACAUCAUUGUGUAAGUAAACUUUAUGAAAUAGACUAGGAUUGAAUGAAACUCAAAACCAUUUGAGAUGACAGGCUGUUAUUUCGUUAAUAUAGAGAUGCAUCUCUUGACUUUUUAGUGCUGUUGGAGUCUACUGAUAUUUACGAGUACCUGAUAAUUGAGGGCUUUUAGAUCUUACAUGAUCUGUCCAGAAAUUCUGUGUGCUAGGCACUAUUUUCUUUAAUAAAUAAAAUUUUACAGAGUCAAGAAAGUAUUAAAGACACUCAUAUGUCACAAAGCCAGCAUUGAAACCUAAGUCCUCUUUGUGCUGUUACCUUGUUAAUUUCUAAUGUGCAGAGCAAAUGCUUCCCAUCCAAAAAUCACUGCUGUGAUAGAAUUCUAACUCUGGACCAGAUUGCCUAGAUCCAAAACCUUUUUCUUGUUAUGCAGUAGCUGUCCUAGCUUCAGGCAAUUUGCCUAACCUCUCUGUGCCCAGUUUAUUCAGUGGGGAUAAUAGUUCUUACUUGGAUUAUGACUUUAAGUCAUGUAAGGCCCCAGAAACAAUUUGGGUAAGAAUACAAGUGAAAGUUGUUACUAUAAUGAGCCAUUGAUACUGAUAGGAGAAUAUCAUAACUUUUAAGUAUGUUAGGAGGCAAAAAAGGCUGAGAAACACUGGGAUCACUUUAUUUGUUUCCAAAUAAUUUUGCUUUUUAAAUUCAUUACAAGUCAUUGGGACACCUUGUGGCAUUGAGCAAUUAGAGCAAUUAGGUAAUUCAGUUUAGGGUAAGGACUUAGUAUGAGUUUCAGUACUUACUUUGUGAUUUUGUAUGCAUUUAAUCUCAGCCUCAUCCACUGUUUGGAGGUAAUAAAAUCUAUUAUUACCUGAUAAUAAUAUCAGGUGUAUCAGUGCUUGUAUCCAUUAAAAGCACUGAAUAAGUGUUAGUUGAAUUAAGUGAACAACUUCAGGUUCUUUGCCUUUUCUGAUGGUGAUGGUGGCAAUAAUAAUUAACAUUCAUUGAG